AUUGAACGCUGGCGGCAUGCCUUACACAUGCAAGUCGAACGGUAACAGGUCUUCGGAUGCUGACGAGUGGCGAACGGGUGAGUAAUACAUCGGAACGUGCCUAGUAGUGGGGGAUAACUACUCGAAAGAGUGGCUAAUACCGCAUGAGAUCUACGGAUGAAAGCAGGGGAUCGCAAGACCUUGUGCUACUAGAGCGGCCGAUGGCAGAUUAGGUAGUUGGUGGGAUAAAAGCUUACCAAGCCGACGAUCUGUAGCUGGUCUGAGAGGACGAUCAGCCACACUGGGACUGGGAAACGGCCCAGACUCCUACGGGAGGCAGCAGUGGGGAAUUUUGGACGAUGGGCGCAAGCCUGAUCCAGCAAUGCCGCGUGCAGGAUGAAGGCCUUCGGGUUGUAGACUGCUUUUGUACGGAACGAAAAGCCCCGGGUUAAUACCCUGGGGUCAUGACGGUACCGUAAGAAUAAGCACCGGCUAACUACGUGCCAGCCGCCGCCGUAA
This 498-nucleotide ribosomal RNA is filed under the name uncultured bacterium. RNAcentral describes it as "partial 16S ribosomal RNA". It matches the Rfam family "Bacterial small subunit ribosomal RNA", at positions 30 to 523 of the family's 1533-position model. The record is from RNAcentral.